GUGUCAGCAGCCGCGGUAAUACGGAGGGUGCAAGCAUUAAUCGGAUUUAUUGGGCGUAAAGGGCGCGUAGGCGGUAAUAAAAGUCAGAUGUGAAAUCCCAGGGCUCAACCCUGGAACCGCAUUUGAAACUGUAUUUCUAGAGGGUAGGCGGAGAAAACGGAAUUCCACAAGUAGCGGUGAAAUGCGUAGAUAUGUGGAAGAACACCGGUGGCGAAGGCGGUUUUCUAGCUUAUUCCUGACGCUGAGGCGCGAAAGCAAGGGGAUCAAACAGGAUUAGAUACCCUGGUAGUCCUUGCCGUAAACUAUGUAUACUUGGUGUAACUGGACUCAACCCCGGUUGUGCCGUAGCUAACGCGAUAAGUAUACCGCCUGGGGAGUACGCUCGCAAGGGUGAA
RNAcentral lists this ribosomal RNA (395 nucleotides) under uncultured bacterium. RNAcentral describes it as "bacterial SSU rRNA". It matches the Rfam family "Bacterial small subunit ribosomal RNA", at positions 505 to 898 of the family's 1533-position model. The record is from RNAcentral.